This 240-nucleotide long non-coding RNA is filed under the name Lathyrus oleraceus (garden pea). RNAcentral describes it as "Pisum sativum (pea) long non-coding RNA (PSAT_LNC028709)". The record is from RNAcentral. Lineage: Eukaryota; Viridiplantae; Streptophyta; Magnoliopsida; Fabales; Fabaceae.
ACAAAUUUAUGUUUAAUAGAAUCAGAAAACAAAUCGGUGCAUUGGACUGAGGGAAGAAGGAGACAUGGAGGCUUGAGGAAGAAGAGGGGUAACAUGGUAUUUUCUAGAGUAUAAUCUAUUCUUAUAUGAUAGAUGAUAAAUACAGGAUACAACAUGACAUAACAAACAUUUAAAGUAAUCACUCAAAAAUCAUGCAUAAAAGAUAAUCGAUGAGUUAUCUUGUUUUGACUUAAAUAUGAC